GGAAGUAAAGGUCGUAACAAGGUUUCCGUAGGUGAACCUGCGGAAGGAUCAUUCAUAAUAAGUGUUUUACUGCACCUUUUAAAAAUAGUACUCACCUUGUGUGCAAUGUUGUGUUUCUUUUCGGAGAAACACCUACACCAACCUAUAACCUUGAACCACUUUGUCUGAAAAACUAUUAUGAAUACUUAAUUCAAAAUACAACUUUCAACAACGGAUCUCUUGGCUCUC
This 228-nucleotide unclassified non-coding RNA is filed under the name plant metagenome. RNAcentral's name for it is "partial contains small subunit ribosomal RNA, internal transcribed spacer 1, and 5.8S ribosomal RNA". The stretch from base 1 to 54 matches the Rfam family "Eukaryotic small subunit ribosomal RNA", at positions 1778 to 1831 of the family's 1831-position model. The record is from RNAcentral.